Molecule: long non-coding RNA, 2989 nt
Organism: Eriocheir sinensis (Chinese mitten crab)
Lineage: Eukaryota; Metazoa; Arthropoda; Malacostraca; Decapoda; Varunidae
Exons: 2
Source: RefSeq, a predicted model, not a curated record
UAUACUUGAUCUUUUUCUAUUCUUUUCAUUUUACUUCCAUUUUUUCCCUUAAUACAUUUUUUUCCUCUACUACACACUCAAGGGAUGGAUGGAGAGCUAUUUUAAAUCCCCUAUAUACUCUUCUUUUUCUUCUAUUCUUUUCAUUUUACUUCCAUUUUUUCCUUAGUAUAUUUUUUCCUCUAAUACACACUCAAGGGAUGGAUGGAGAGCUAUUUUAAACCCCUUAUAUACCCUUCUUACUCUCGUACCCUUUGAAUUUUACUUCCAUUUUUCCCUUUCUAUAUUUUUUUCCUCUAUUACGCACUCAAGAGAUGGAGGGUAAGUUAUUUUAAAUCCCUUAUAUACUCGACCUUCUUUUAUCCUUUUCAUUUUUUCUUCUUCUGUCUGCCUCCUCCCUUUUCCCUUUAAUUGCAUAGUGUAGUGAUAAUAAUAAAAAUAAUUAUAAAGUCUUCCUAAGCUAAAGUCUGCUAAAGGGGAGGAGAAGGUAUAGGGAGGAGAGAAAGGUAGGGGAGGAAAGGAAUAUGGGAGAAGGAAAGGGAAUGAGGAAGGGGAGGAGAAAGAGGAAGACGGUGGGGAAUCAUGCUAAAAGGUAGGGGAGGAAAAGAAUAUGGGAGAAGAAAAGGGAAUGAGGAAGGGGAGGAGAUAGGGGAAGAUAAAAAGUUGGAAAGUUUCAUUUAGUUGGCGCAACAUCUGUGGUCAUAUGCCGGAGAGACAGAAGGGGAAGGAAAGAGGAAGAUAAAAGCUAACAGUAACAGUAAUAGUAGUGAUAACAAUACUUCUUUUUGCAUUUUUUUACACUUUAUUUAGAAAUCAGGAGUAACAUCUCCACUAGGUACUAUGUCAAUCUGUGUUCUGUUCAAGGGCCAGGAGAGCAGGUUCAUAAUGCUCUUAAGGUCACCAUCGUUCAUCAUUCUGCUGGGUUGGCACUCACCAUAUCACCCCAAUUUAGCUAUUUAUCUUAUUUUGUAUAGUCUCGUGAAGUUUUGCGUUAAGGGUAGGAAAGGAGGAUGAGAGAGGAAGAAUGGGGAGGAGGAUAUGAGAGAAAAGAGAAAGGCAGGGAAAGGAAGGAAAGGAAAAGAGAAGUAGAGGAAACAGGAAUAAGACGAGGAAUAAGAGAAAAGCACUGUAUCAUUCCGCCUUACUAAGUUAACAGGCUGGGAAAGUUUUGGUUGACGAUGAUUUUAACCUUCACUUUCAACUUAUUCUAGGAGGUAUAAAUCAUUUCACUAUUAGUUUAAGUCAUGCCGGUCAGUAUAUCACUCCAGCACUUAUUUAUUCCUCUUUUAUUUUCUAUAUUUUCAGGUUUAAAAUUUCAGGUCGUUGAUCAUUUUUCACGUUAAUUUCCGACUCAUUCUAGCGAGUAAACAUCACUUCGCUAGUUCAGGUCAUGUCAUUCUGCACUUCACUUCAACACUCACUUUUCUUUUUUUUUGUAUAUUUUCUGGGUGAUAAUAUUUCACCUCAAUUUUCAACUUAUUCUAGCUAGCAUACAUCCCUUCCCCUGGUCAGGUCAUACCGUUCAGCGUGUCAUUCCAACACUUGUUAAUUCCUCAUUUUUGUGUAAUUUUCAGGUUUAAAAUUUCUUGCUGAUAAUUUUUCGCCUUAAUUAUUUUCAACUUAUUUUAGCGAGUGCACAUCAUUUCACAAGUUCAGGUCACGUCAUUCAGCAUAUCACUCUAACACUCAUUCAUUUCUUUUUUUAUUUUGUAUUUUCUGGUUGAUAAUAUUUCAUCUUAGUUCUCUACUUAUGCUACCGCGUUUAAAUCAUUUCACUAGUUCAGGUCAUGUCAUUCCGCUUGUAACUUCAACACUCAUUCAUUUCUUUUUCAUGUACUUUCAGGUUUAAAAGUCUUCAUUGAUGAUAACUUUUCACUUUAAUUUUCAACUUACCAAAGCGAGUACACAUCCUUUCACUAGCUCUGGUCACAUCAUUCAGCAUAUCACUCCAACCCUCAUUCACUUCUCUAUAAUUUGUGUGUGUUUUCUAUGAUUAUAAUUUUUCACUUUAAUUUUCAACUUACCCGAGCGAGUACACAUCCUUUCACUUGUUCAGGUCACACCAUUCAGCAUAUCACUCCAACCCUCAUUCACUUCUCUAUAAUUUGUGUGUGUUUUUUAUGAUUAUAAUUUUUCACUUUAAUUUUCAACUUACCCGAGCGAGUACACAUCCUUUCACUCAUUCAGGUCACAUCAUUCAGCAUAUCACUCCAACCCUCAUUCACUUCUCUAUAAUUUGUGUGUAUUUUCAAUGACUAUAAUCAUUCCACUGGACAAGCCAUGAGUCCAUCAACAUGUAUUUCCACCUUGCUCAUGCCCUUAAUGCGACAGAGAUGAGCACUGAGACCAUGAACAGCAUUAGCAUACCUUAUCAUGCACUUCACUGUACAAGGUUGUGGGUCCUCAUAUCCUCUCCUACAGUAAACAUGGCAACUAUACAUCAUUCCACAAGGACAAGCCAUAAUUUUGUCCCAGCAUGCCAUUACCAUUCCACACCGCCUAGCAUGACUGUCUGUUGGCCCUUUCGGUGAGGAGUGAGAGAAGGUAGCGAGUCCAUACCAUAUGUUCUCUCUUGUCCUCAUAUGUCUAAGGACCGAUAGCAGAGGACACGUGACCAGUUGGAAUUUACAUAUAUUUAUUUAUAAAAGAAUGGGUGGCUUUCAAAUAUGAACAGAUAAACAAACAGACAGAACAAUAGACAGAUACAUACUCUCUCACACACACACACACACACACACACACACACACACACACACAUUCUUCCCACCCAGUUUUUCUCUCUCGAUGGCUUUGCUUGCUCGCCUAACCUAACCUAACCACCGAUAAUGAGGGAAGCCAAACACAAUGAUAGCCUAAAAUAAAACACUUCCCCUGCACCAACACCUCGGAUGCUUGGCAAAGAAUGGAGGAAGAAAAAGCGAGGAAAGUGGAGUAAGAAGUAUCUGGCAACACACGAAAGGAGAAAAAGUGAAAAGAAGUGGAAAAAAAAGAG